Molecule: long non-coding RNA, 2579 nt
Organism: Melospiza melodia melodia
Lineage: Eukaryota; Metazoa; Chordata; Aves; Passeriformes; Passerellidae
Exons: 3
Source: RefSeq, a predicted model, not a curated record
GGAGCCCUGACGGUCACUCUCCCGCUCCUCAUGGCCUGGUCUGGAGGUGCUGAAGUCGGGAAAAGACCUGGUCAGCUUCUCACUGAAGUACCUCUGAACCUCAUCCAGCUCACUCAAGUUCUUCCUGCAAGCAGUGGGAUCCCUGGAAUCUCCGUGGGCUCCCCUCUGCCCGCUGCAGGGACUCGUGGAAGCGGCGCACGUUCUGCAUGUGCUCCUCGUGCCGGGGGGGCUGUGUGCCAGCGGGGCCCAUCCUGCUGGAAACAACCCAAAAUCCAGCCUGGAACCCCUCACUGUGCAAAGUCUGCCACCUGAGAACAGCCUGUGUCCUGAAAUCCACUAAAGAGCCACCCAUGGGUGAAACGAGUUCCUCCAAAUGUGCACAGGAAUGGCAUUUGCUGCCUCAGGUUUAUGCCAAAGUCAAGGUAACAGUGGGGCUGGCAGGCAGCUCCCAAGCCCGUUGUUCAGAGCCCAGAGAGGUGGCACCCAGUCCCUCCAAACUUCAAAGACACAUAUGGGAAGAGGAUCAUCUCUGCAGGCUAAACAAAGAAAUAAUAAACUAAGACACUCUGGCUCAUCUGAAGGGACAGAAAGCAGGAAUUGCUGCAGGAUGUCUGACAGUCCUGCUCCUGUAACAUGCAAUAUUGCAGCGUUUCACCAGCUGCCAUUCACUGGUCAUGGGCAGAAAUUAGGGCAAAAUAAAGGGGAGGCAUCAGGAAUACUCUAUCUAAUUUACACUUACUAAAAAUAAAACCAAAUACAGACACAACCCUCAUUCUUAUCAGGGCCUGGAGAAAGUACCUGCCAGCUUUAACAAGGGCACCUUUUUACCAACGGUAAAUAAAUUAUGAUUUAUUUAUUUACCAUUUACCAAUGGCAAAUAAAUCCUUCUGUACCAGGGUGCAAAUCAGGAAGUAUCAAUGACAAGAAAAAGAACAUCUGGGCUGUGCCAAAAGGAACCUGUCCCAGGACUGCUUCCUCCUGCACCUCUUUCUCACUGGGAAAGGCAAUGCCCACUAAUUUUUAAGCCCAAACACAGUGGGCACACUUUGACAGGGUGUACCAUUUCUCCAGUAGAGCCAAUUUGCUUUAGAGAGGCAUUUCUGAGACCUGAAAAUAACCAAAAAGUUGUCAGCCUCUCUGCCUGAGGACUUACUGCUCUCGAGCAGGAACGCUGACUUCCUUUGACAAGGAGUUCAACAUCUGCUUGGACAAGUGUGCAGAAUUACUGGGACAUGCUGGAAAGCUGACCUUCACCUGGGAUGGACAGGAAAAAGGAACACUCUGCGUGAGUCUUUCACAAUAAGAAAAUAAGAGAAAUCAAAGUAUUACCCUGCUGAUCCUAACAAAACCUCAGGCUUUCUAAAGAGCUUUAAAUUUUCAAAUGAUUUCCCAGCACUGAGCCAAAGUACUAUUUCACAACACUUUCAUUUCAGACACUUUUGCUAACUCUCUCCAUGCUAUCAGAGAGUAAAGUGAUGUAAAGUAAGAUAAAGGCUGCCUUACAGGUCUAUAACACACCAAAGCAUAUCCGGGGAGUUUAGAGAAUAGAGAAAAACCCAGUAAAAAAGGCAAAUAUCCCAGAAAAACAGAUUCUUGCCAAAUCAGAUGUUUCCUAACCAACGAAAAGUUGAAUCUACUGUAUGUUUUUGGGUACCAGCUGUCACCCAAAGCAGCCAACAGAUCUAAGCCAUGCUCCCAGACAUCCAAAUGCACAGAAUAGUCUCCUAAAGAAAAUGAAGCAACCACAGAGUGAAGCCAAGGGGAUGCUCAUGACCUGCUUGAGGUGCUGUAACUAGCACUGGCCAGCAGCUACCAUGGAAACCUGGAGCAGAAUUCCUGAGGAAUUAGGUGGUUUUUAAGCAGACUGGUCCAUGAGGGCGCUGUGAAUUGUCUCAGGAGCCCAGAGUGCUGGGUGUCAGCAAUGCAGUGAGGUGUGAGGGGGCAGGAGAUGGAGGAACGUACGGCAGAGCUCUCCGGCUGGCCGCGGGCCCUGGCCUGCCGCUCCUCCCUCAGGCUGCUGAUGCUCUGCAGAGGGGACACGGCCACCUUGAUCUGCCCCCGGCACUGCCCGCUGAAGUCGGUGAUGUUGUACCAGCCACACACCAGCUGGAAGCCCGAGAGCAGCGGGGAGAGAUCCACGGCCGCAAACCCGAUCACGCGCUCCGACUCUGGGGAGGAAGGACACGAGCACACUGACAUCAGUCAUUUCAGGAACGCUAAAACACAGCCCUGGAAACAUGGCCCGGAGGCGCACAACAUCCUGUCCAACAGGGGAACACUGUCUGGAUGACCUGGGUUUUGUUCAGCUAAAAAUGUCCCUGCAGAGCAGAGAAAGCCCAGGGCAGGGAGAGGGACGGGCAGGAGAAGCACUGUGAGCGCACAGUGCUCUGCGUACACAGGAAGGUUAUUCUGGAAGCAAAACCAAACAGCACGAGAAGGAAGCAGAAACACCAUGUCCUCUUCCUGUGGCUGGCCAUUGGUGAUCCCUGAACCUUCAACAUCCACCUGCUGUUUGUCAGAGAGCUGCUGGCCCCGAGCAGGGCUGUCCCCUGUGCCUCCACCUUCGCUGCUGCUGCUGC